This 1988-nucleotide long non-coding RNA is filed under the name Ananas comosus (pineapple). RNAcentral describes it as "long non-coding RNA (ACOM_LNC019300)". The record is from RNAcentral. Lineage: Eukaryota; Viridiplantae; Streptophyta; Magnoliopsida; Poales; Bromeliaceae.
AAACCGUUUGGUUUAGGGUUAAGAAAAAAUUAGUUAUUCCAGAGAUAGGGUUGAGUUUAGGAUUAAGGUGGGGUUAGAGUAUUUUUGUGUUUGGUUGAAGGUUGAAGUUAGUGAAAAAAAGUGUUUGGUUGGAAUAGGUGGGAUAAGAAGAAUAGUGAGUUAUUAUGAAUAAAAAAUAGUGUUUGGUUGGGGUUUGGUGGGAUUAGGUGAGAUUAGCUAAUCCGGGAUAACCCAUUUGAGGUGGGGUUAACUAACCCCACCAAUUUUUAGAAGUGUUUGGGGAUAAAAUGGGGGUUAAGGGGUGGAGGGGUUAAGGGGUGGAAUAACCCCUUAACCCCCAACCAAACGAAGGCGUGUCUGCCCUGUGGUGACCAAGAAAGAAAGAAAGCUAUACCCAAAACAAGUGGAAUGGAUCCUAGUAUUUAGAGUCUAUGGGCAUGUUUGGUUCGCUCAUUUGUCACUCUGGAAUUGGAAUCGUAAUUGACGAAUCCAUUUAUCCGUAUCUGGUCUGCGAGAUUUUCGUUCCAAUUUUGAUUUUUGCGAGUGAAUGAGAAUCCCCCAAAGUACCUCUUUUUCCAAUCCGGCCUAAGAGGCCGGAUUGGAAAUUGAAUCCAGAUAGAAUAGAUUUGUUUGGAUUAUAUUUAAUUUUUAAGCUUAUUUUUUUAAUUAAAAUAUAACUUUAAGUUUAAAAAUUAUAUUUAUAAAUUUUAAUUUUAAUUUGAACUUAAAUUAAAAAUUAAAAUUCAAUCAAGCAUUUCUAAUCUAAUUUAUAUAUUUGAAUUCGAAUUAAAAUCUAAAGUUUUAUUCAAAUUUUAUUUAAAAUUUAAAUUAAAUUUAUCGAUUCAAAUUAAAAUUAAAAAUUAUAAUUUUAAGUUUGAAUUUGAAUAAAUCAAAAUUUAGUUUUAUAUACUGAAUUAUCCGUUCAAUUUCAAAUUUUAAUUUUUUUGAAAAAAAAAAUAUAUUUAAAAUUUUGACAUUAUUUUAAAAUUUUGACGUAAUUUUUUAAUAUUUAAUUUUCAGUUUGAAUUAAACCAACAUAUUAUAAAGAUAAAACUGACAUAUUAAUUUGGUUACGUUUCUGAUAUCUGUCUGAACCAAACACCGACAGUGAAAAUUGUUCAUUCCGCUUCCGAUUCAGAUGACGAGCUAAACAGAAUGAGAUAAUGAAUCAUUCUGAUUCCGUUUCUAAUUUAUUCUCAUUCCAAUUUCGAUACCGGUUCUAACUUCAAACAAAACACACCCUAUUUGGUUUCACUUUUAUUUCUAUUUUUAACCAUAAUUAUUUUUAGUAAAAGUUUUACAGUUUUUUUAUAAUGGGAAUGAAAAUAAGAUUCGGAGACCUAGAAAUAGAUUAUUGAAUUUCAUAUUUCUAAUUCUGCUUUGGAAAAAAAAAAAAAAAACUAUUGGAUGAACUUUAGUAUGAUAUUUUUUUAAAAGGAGUAAUUGCUUAUAUAUCUGGAAAGUUUUCGACUUUUUUAUUUAUCCCUUUAGAAGGCUAAUAUUAACCCUGUUAAGGUUCCUAGUUAUUUCAGAUAUACUUCUAGAGUUAAUUUUCAAUUUUUCAUUAAUAAACAGUUAGGAACCGCCGUUACUUUUAUGAAAUUAUUAUUUUGCUCUUUUAAAUAUACUCUUCUGUCGUCACAUACUUUUUUUUUAUUUUCCCUUAAAGUUAGGGGCAAAUAAGUAUUUUGACUUUUGACUUUUGACUUUUUAUUAAAUGUACAUUCUAUCGUCACCAACUAUUUCUUAUUUGUUCUUAAGUUAGAAACAAAAGAGCUAUUUUUAACCUUUUUUAAUUUUAUAAAAAUAUAACCGAUAUUUAACCAAAGAUAACUUAAUGGGUAUCAACAGCAGGUUUAUUUUUGAAUAAUAGAAAAAUAUAAGAUGAGUAUAAUAUAUAAGCUAUUUUAGAAGUUUUGAGAGCUAUAUUAGAUAUUAUUCCUUUUCUAAAAAAACACCACUUAAAUAGCACUCUUUCCCCUAAACAU